UACGGGGGGGGCAAGCGUUGUUCGGAAUUACUGGGCGUAAAGGGCUCGUAGGCAGCCAACUAAGUCGGAUGUGAAAUCCCCAGGCUUAACUGAGGAACUGCACGGGAUACUGCGAGACUUGAGAUCGGGAGAGGGAAGCGGAAUUCCGGGUGUAGCGGUGAAAUGCGUAGAUAUCCGGAGGAACACCGGUGGCGAAGGCGGCUUCCUGGACCGACACUGACGCUGAGGCGCGAAAGCUAGGGGAGCAAACGGG
This 253-nucleotide ribosomal RNA is filed under the name uncultured bacterium. RNAcentral's name for it is "partial 16S ribosomal RNA". It matches the Rfam family "Bacterial small subunit ribosomal RNA", at positions 524 to 776 of the family's 1533-position model. The record is from RNAcentral.